UAUAUAUAUAUAUGUAUUUUAAUUGGGGUAUCCCCCAAAAUAUUGGGAAAUAUAAAAAAAAGACAACUCUGUUCCGCAGAUUAGCUGUUGACAUAAUAGUUGCGCAGGCAACCUCGGGACAAUUGCACAUCCCCGUGACAGCGACUUUGCAUUCGGAUGUCAUCCAUAUCAACUUUCGAUGCCAGUUUCUGCACCUACUAUGGUGACCAAGGGUAACGGGGAAUCAGAGUUCCAUUCCGUACAGGGACCCUGAGAAACGGCUACCAUAUGCAAGGAAGGCAGCAAGCACACAAAUGACCCACUCCUGACGCGGGAAGGUAGUGA
Pelobates cultripes (western spadefoot toad) is the source of this 324-nucleotide non-coding RNA. NCBI's taxonomy places the organism in Eukaryota, Metazoa, Chordata, Amphibia, Anura, Pelobatidae. The record is from the annotation of a GenBank genome assembly.